UGGGGAAUAUUGGACAAUGGGNGAAAGCCUGAUCGCAGCCAUGCCGCGUGAAUGAAGAAGGCCUUUGGGUUGUAAAAGCUUCUUUAAGUGGGGAGGGAAAGGUUGAUGUGUUUAAUANCAUAUCANANNGACGUUAAAUACAGAAGAAGCACCGGCUAACUCUGUGCCAGCAGCCGCGGUAAUACAGAGGGUGCGAGCGUUAAUCGGAAUAACUGGGCGUAAAGGGCACGCAGGCGGUUAUUUAAGUCAGAUGUGAAAGCCCCGGGCUUAACCUGGGAAUUGCAUUUCAUACUGGAUAACUAGAGUAGGUGAGGGAGGGGUAGAAUUCCAGGUGUAGCGGUGAAAUGCGUAGAGAUGUGGAGGAAUACCGAAGGCGAAGGCAGCUCCUUGGCAACAUACUGACGCUCAGGUGCGAAAGCGUGGGGAGCAAACAGGAUUAGAUACCCUGGUAGUCCACGCCGUAAACGAUGUCUACCAGUCGUUGGGUCUUUUAAAGACUUAGUGACGCAGUUAACGCAAUAAGUAGACCGCCUGGGGAGUACGGCCGCAAGGUUA
This 555-nucleotide ribosomal RNA is filed under the name uncultured bacterium. RNAcentral describes it as "bacterial SSU rRNA". It matches the Rfam family "Bacterial small subunit ribosomal RNA", at positions 355 to 896 of the family's 1533-position model. The record is from RNAcentral.